RNAcentral lists this ribosomal RNA (253 nucleotides) under uncultured bacterium. RNAcentral describes it as "partial 16S ribosomal RNA". It matches the Rfam family "Bacterial small subunit ribosomal RNA", at positions 524 to 776 of the family's 1533-position model. The record is from RNAcentral.
GACGUAGGGACCGAGCGUUGUCCGGAUUCAUUGGGCGUAAAGCGCGCGCAGGCGGCUUCGUAGGUCGGGUGUGAAAACCAGAGGCUCAACCUCUGGCCUGCACCCGAAACCACGUCGCUAGAGGCAGGUAGGGGAGAUCGGAAUUCCUGGUGUAGCGGUGAAAUGCGCAGAUAUCAGGAGGAACACCGGUGGCGAAGGCGGAUCUCUGGGCCUGUCCUGACGCUGAGGUGCGAAAGCUAGGGGAGCGAACAGG